This 367-nucleotide ribosomal RNA is filed under the name uncultured organism. RNAcentral describes it as "bacterial LSU rRNA". It matches the Rfam family "Bacterial large subunit ribosomal RNA", at positions 2099 to 2465 of the family's 2925-position model. The record is from RNAcentral.
CUUUACUGUAGCUUUACAUUGGACUUUGAACAGAUCUGUGUAGGAUAGGUGGGAGGCUUUGAAGCGGUGCCGCUAGGUGUCGUGGAGCCAACGUUGAAAUACCACCCUGGUGUGUUUGAGGUUCUAACCUUGGCCCGUUAUCCGGGUUGGGGACAGUGUAUGGUGGGCAGUUUGACUGGGGCGGUCUCCUCCCAAAGUGUAACGGAGGAGUUCGAAGGUACGCUAGGCACGGUCGGAAAUCGUGCUGAUAGUGCAUAGGCAUAAGCGUGCUUGACUGCGAGACUGACAAGUCGAGCAGGUACGAAAGUAGGACUAAGUGAUCCGGUGGUUCUGUAUGGAAGGGCCAUCGCUCAACGGAUAAAAGGUA